RNAcentral lists this ribosomal RNA (776 nucleotides) under uncultured Neocallimastigales. RNAcentral describes it as "partial large subunit ribosomal RNA". It matches the Rfam family "Eukaryotic large subunit ribosomal RNA", at positions 20 to 647 of the family's 3401-position model. The record is from RNAcentral. Lineage: Eukaryota; Fungi; Neocallimastigomycota; Neocallimastigomycetes; Neocallimastigales.
AUCACUACGCUAGAUGCAUAUCAAUAAGCGGAGGAAAAGAAACUAACAAGGAUUCCCCUAGUAACGGCGAGUGAAGCGGGAAGAGCUCAAAUUUGAAAUCUUAAAGGGUUUCCCUUUACGAAUUGUAGUUUAAAGAAGUGUUUUCUGUUGGAGUUUCGGUAAAAGUUCUUUGGAAUAGGACAUCAUAGAGGGUGAGAAUCCCGUAUUUGACCGUUACUUUCCAGCUGUGUGAUACACUUUCAAAGAGUCGGAUUGUUUGGGAAUGCAGUCCAAAAUGGGUGGUAAAUUUCAUCUAAAGCUAAAUAUUGGCGAGAGACCGAUAGCGAACAAGUACCGUGAGGGAAAGAUGAAAAGAACUUUGAAAAGAGAGUUAAACAGUACGUGAAAUUGUCAAAAGGGAAGCGUUUGACACCAGUGUUGUUUUUCCGAGAAUCAAUUACGAAUGUUUUAGUUUUUGAGGAGUUAUGACUUCAUCGGCUUGCUCCUUUCUUUAUGAAACUUUCUUAAUGCACUUUUCGGUUAACAAGUCAACAUCAAUUUCUUUUGUUGUAAAAGGGUAUGAGGAAGGUGGCUUUCUUUUCGGAGAAAGUGUUUAUAGCCUUGUGCCUCUGCAAUCGGAGAGAUUGAGGUCUGCAGCGUAGAUCCUUCGGGGUUAGAUACGUUUGUGCUAAGUUAUAGCUUUUCAUAGACAACUUGUUGACUAUGUUUAGUCUUGUAGCUUACUCGCUUACUGCUAUUUUACCUACGCUUAGGAUGUUGACGAGACUGUCGAUCUC